This 937-nucleotide ribosomal RNA is filed under the name uncultured crenarchaeote. RNAcentral describes it as "bacterial SSU rRNA". It matches the Rfam family "Archaeal small subunit ribosomal RNA", at positions 1 to 922 of the family's 1478-position model. Lineage: Archaea; Thermoproteati; Thermoproteota. The record is from RNAcentral.
UUCCGGUUGAUCCCGCCAGACCCCACUGCUAUCGAGAUGGGACUAAGGUAUGCUAGUCGAACGACCAGAACUAUGUCUGGAAGUGGCACACUGCUCAGUAACACGUAGCUAACCUACCCUUAGGACGUGGAUACCCCCGAGAAAUUGGGGUUAAUCCGCGAUAGAUGUAAUGUCCUGGAAUGGUAUUACGUCUAAAGGUAUUUCAUACAUGUUUGAAAUAUGCCUAAGAAUGGGGCUGCGGCCGAUCAGGCUGUUGGUGAGGUAAUGGCUCACCAAACCUUUGACCGGUACGGGCCAUGAGAGUGGUAGCCCGGAGAUGGACACUGAGACAAGGGUCCAGGCCCUAAGGGGCGCAGCAACCGCGAACCCUCCACAAUGCACUCACGUGCGAUGGGGCUAUCUCGAGUGCCACCUGAUGAAGGUGGCUUUUCCUAGGUCUUCAAAGCCUUGGGAAUAAGAGGGGGGCAAGACUGGUGUCAGCCGCCGCGGUAACACCAGCCCCUCGAGUGGUGGGGAUGAUUAUUUGGCCUAAAGCGUCCGUAGCCGGCCGAGCAAGUCUUCCGUUAAAUCCAGCGUCUCAAGCGUUGGACCGCGGGAGGUACUACACGGCUAGAGAGUGGGAGAGGUCAGCGGUAUUCUGGGGGUAAGGGCGAAAUCUUUUGAUCCCCGGAGGACCACCAGUGGCGAAGGCUGCUGACUAGAACACGUCUGACGGUCAGGGACGAAAGCUGGGGUAGCGAACCGGAUUAGAUACCCGGGUAGUCCCAGCCGUAAACGAUGCAUGCUAGGUGUUGGGUUGGCUAUGCGCUGCCCAGUGCCUCAUGGAAGCCGUUAAGCUUGUUGCCUGGGGAAUACCAUCUCAAGUGAAACUUAAAGGACUUGGCGGGGGAGCCUCGCAAGGGGUGAAGCCUGCGGUUAAAUUGGAUUCAACGCCGGA